UACGGAGGGGGCUAGCGUUGUUCGGAAUUACUGGGCGUAAAGCGCACGUAGGCGGACUCUUAAGUCGGUGGUGAAAUCCUGGAGCUCAACUCCAGAACUGCCUUCGAUACUGAGAGUCUCGAGUCCGAGAGAGGUGAGUUGAACUGCGAGUGUAGAGGUGAAAUUCGUAGAUAUUCGCAAGAACACCAGUGGCGAAGGCGGCUCACUGGCUCGGUACUGACGCUGAGGUGCGAAAGCGUGGGGAGCAAACAGG
Molecule: ribosomal RNA, 253 nt
Filed under: uncultured bacterium
Lineage: Bacteria
Description: partial 16S ribosomal RNA
Rfam family: Bacterial small subunit ribosomal RNA
Source: RNAcentral